UGAUAACUCUCAGCAACGGAUAUCUCGGCUCUUGCAUCGAUGAAGAACGCAGCGAAAUGCGAUAAAUGGUGUGAAUUGCAGAAUCCCGUGAACCAUCGAGUCUUUGAACGCAAGUUGCGCCCGAGGCCAUCAGGCCAAGGGCACGCCUGCCUGGGCAUUGCGA
This 163-nucleotide ribosomal RNA is filed under the name Paphiopedilum haynaldianum. Its description in RNAcentral is "5.8S ribosomal RNA". It matches the Rfam family "5.8S ribosomal RNA". Rfam says of the family: 5.8S ribosomal RNA (5.8S rRNA) is a component of the large subunit of the eukaryotic ribosome. It is transcribed by RNA polymerase I as part of the 45S precursor that also contains 18S and 28S rRNA. Functionally, it is thought that 5.8S rRNA may be involved in ribosome translocation. The record is from RNAcentral. Lineage: Eukaryota; Viridiplantae; Streptophyta; Magnoliopsida; Asparagales; Orchidaceae. RNAcentral also lists the same sequence under 2 other names.